This 576-nucleotide ribosomal RNA is filed under the name Bipolaris sorokiniana. RNAcentral's name for it is "eukaryotic LSU rRNA". It matches the Rfam family "Eukaryotic large subunit ribosomal RNA", at positions 1 to 580 of the family's 3401-position model. Lineage: Eukaryota; Fungi; Ascomycota; Dothideomycetes; Pleosporales; Pleosporaceae. The record is from RNAcentral. RNAcentral also lists the same sequence under 1 other name.
UUGACCUCGGAUCAGGUAGGGAUACCCGCUGAACUUAAGCAUAUCAAUAAGCGGAGGAAAAGAAACCAACAGGGAUUGCCCUAGUAACGGCGAGUGAAGCGGCAACAGCUCAAAUUUGAAAUCUGGCUCUUUCAGAGUCCGAGUUGUAAUUUGCAGAGGGCGCUUUGGCUUUGGCAGCGGUCCAAGUUCCUUGGAACAGGACGUCACAGAGGGUGAGAAUCCCGUACGUGGUCGCUAGCUAUUGCCGUGUAAAGCCCCUUCGACGAGUCGAGUUGUUUGGGAAUGCAGCUCUAAAUGGGAGGUAAAUUUCUUCUAAAGCUAAAUAUUGGCCAGAGACCGAUAGCGCACAAGUAGAGUGAUCGAAAGAUGAAAAGCACUUUGGAAAGAGAGUCAAACAGCACGUGAAAUUGUUGAAAGGGAAGCGCUUGCAGCCAGACUUGCUUGCAGUUGCUCAUCCGGGCUUUUGCCCGGUGCACUCUUCUGUAGGCAGGCCAGCAUCAGUUUGGGCGGUGGGAUAAAGGUCUCUGUCACGUACCUCUCUUCGGGGAGGCCUUAUAGGGGAGACGACAUACCACC